GAGCGGUCCUUCUUUUAGAGCUCUUUUUGUCCUAAAUACAGUAGGCCAGAACUUCAGACAUGUCUAUCUCAACAUAGGCUGCUGACAGGGUAGGGUACCCCAUAGACAAAUUACAGUUUAGGCUGAACUUUAUAAAACAAUGUUCUCUCAGGUCAGGGCAGUAAAGACAGUACAAAGAGCACCUAACCAGUACACUUGAAAAUUGUAAUGUCCUCAGGACAGGUUGCAGAUGUUGGCUGACAAAGAUAAUUAUCUUUAUGAGAAUAUAUUUUUAGAUAGUUUUCUUGUAUUAAGCUUUAAAUAAAACGUUAGAAGCAAAUAAUUUUUUCUUAAAAUAUUUAUCCUAAGUUAUACCAUCUCAGAAGAGCUUACCCCACAUCCAGCAAGAGGGCUUCUUGUGACUUCUUCAGGCAGCUUUGGCUUAGAUUGUAAACCAAUCAGGUUUACACCAAAAAGGUGUGGUUUGUGAUUAAAACCAGCUCAGCCACUGUCUGUCAGCUGGCUGCAUUCACUUACAUGGUGCUGAUAGCCUGCUUAAUUGGAAAAUACCACACAUUUGCUUAAGUGAUUACCUGGAGCUCAGACCACACUGAUACUUGCAUGUUGCUGUAGCUGGCAUUGACGAAGUGGUGAAUACCACUGAUCUUUUGCAGGUUUUUGUGGAUGCAGUUCUGGCAGGUGACUGCAGGAAUAUACCUGCCCUGAAGUUACAAGUUUAUAGACCAGCAUCUGAGAGUAAAAUGAAAAUUGCAGCAGUUUACACGGGUCUGUCAGAUUUGAAUUGCAACGGAGACACCUGAAGUUGGAAGGCAGUGUUGAGAGGCAAUCCCACCUACACUUGCCAUUGGGAUGUGAGCUUGGAGAGAAGGGAGGAGAGUCAAAAAUGGCACUCACCACUGCAGAAAAGGGAAAGAAACACAAGAGGAAGGACUGACAAGCCAAGAUGAACCAGCUGAAAUAGAAAAUGGUGAGAUAACAAGCAGAGGACAGCAGAAAGGAAGGCCUGACAAGGGUUAAUCAGCAGCAAUGGAAAGCUCAGUAGGAUUACAGGAGUGCAGAGGAGCUGCAGAAGGAGAAUUGUUUAGCUGUGAGGAGGCAGAAAUGGAGGAGAGAGCAGGCGUGCAGGAGAGGAAGUUGGCUCGAUCACAGGAUUUCCGUCAGAGACACUUUGCACUGCAAGAGCAAGCAUGGAUGAAGCAAGUGGGGAAGGUAAGCUGGUUCUGUGGGUAGGUAUGACAGUUCAUCAUGAAAAGAAAGGACAAAGGAGUCAGUGGUUAAUGAAAGUUGUGUGUGGUAAAUGUAUAGUUAGGACAUUGCUGCUGAAGCAAACAUUUCUGUACUUAACAUCAAAAUGCAAAUAAAGCUAAAAGAUGUGCGAGGUUCAUUUUUAAUCAAUGCUACUAGUUGGUAUUAUUUCUUUAGCUUUUCUUCACUCUGUUAUUUUCAUCAUUCUGUUUUUCUUUCUUUUUUAACAAUCUACAAGACGUUAGUUUCUGCUCUGCACCUUCUUGCAGUACAAAGCUCUGAAAUAAUAGUUUUCCUGAAAAAGUUAUUUAUCUGUUGUUGCUAGGAUUUAAAUGCACCUGCAGCCCACAAUCUUUCCAUGUUGUUAUAUUCCAUGCCAGCUAAAAAUAAGUGAGACAACUAAGGCUUGUUAAACCGCUUAACAGAUAAGAUACAGCAGCCAAGCUAUGCCCAGAGUAUUCAGAACUGCAAAGGUUCAUUGCAUUGUAAUUAUAAUUUUACUUUUGGUUUUUUUGUUUGUUUUUUUUCUUUUCUUAAAACCACAUCCCUGACCUCCAGAAGUUAGGGAAGAUGCUUCAGACCAGCCUUUCAGUUAUCAGAAGUAUUUUUUCAAGCACUAUAAAGACAGUAAACAUAAUUUAUUAACACAGAGUUUUAAGGACAGGUUUAUGGCAUCCAAGGCUUUCAAAGAAAGCUUUAAGGUUCUGCUGGUGCAAAAAGAUGUGUCUUUGUCGGGGAACACAUGAUUUUCUCUUAAUGUGUGGGGCCACUUUAAAUUUGUACGUCUGCAUUAUUAAACCAUCGUGGGAAGUGUAGCAGGAGGAAACCCCGGGUAAUUGGCUGCAGCUCCAGAUGCAGCCGCUCGCCCAUUGGAGAGCGGAGGAUUCUCCGAGAACUAAAAUUAGACACUCUCCGCCCUCCAGAAAUGCUUCUGGAAACAGCGAGCAGGAGAAAUUCUGACACAGCCCCAGGGCCUGUGGAGAGGAGAGAAGUGCACAGGACUCUGCUCCCAGUCAAACUGCAGCCUCUAAGGAUGCACAGAAAGAUGUUUGGGGGUUUUUUGACUCGGUUAACUGUAAAAAAAAAUAAAUGCGCGCAAUAAAGAAAUUGCAAGGGAUUCAUGUUAACUGUUCUAUAUGGAUAUUAAAUCUAACAUUUCUUAUGUAAUAAUUCUGAAGUGUUCAUGCAGCUGAGGAAGACUUUAACUGCUAAAUUUAAGCUAGGGCUGUCAGACUUGAGCUCACUGAAAAGGAACAACUCUUGCUGAAUUAAUUCUGAACUAAACUAAAAAACUGGUGAACUCUUUCUAUCAGCAUUUUUUUAAAAAAAUAAAACAUGUUUAUCCAUUAUCUCUCUGUAGCUGGAGUGUUUACGCUGUCUUCAAAUGAAACACUGCAUAAGGUAUUUCUGUUAAUUAAAAAAUGCUAUGUGCCUAUGUCGGUGAAGGAAAGCCUGUAUCUGAACUACUCAGUCUAAGGCAUUUGGAACCUUCAUUUUUUUAGGGUAUGUGAAUAAUAACUUCAAUCUUUGGUUUCUAAGCAUAUCUCAAACUGGCUGAGAGGAAAUAAUUGCAUUGUUUUGUUUCUUGUUUCUAUGUUUACAGUAUUUACAUGACUCACAAAAAAGAUUAGGACAAAAUGGAUUUUUCUUACACUAAAACCAGCUUGUGCAGUAAAUUUGCUAUUUCCUCAGCUAACGAGGGCACACAGUGUCAGCAUCUAUGGCUCCAAGUAGGGGGGCUUUUUUGUC
Pipra filicauda (Wire-tailed manakin) is the source of this 2994-nucleotide long non-coding RNA. RefSeq lists it as uncharacterized. The transcript has 3 exons. The record is from RefSeq and is a predicted model, not a curated record. NCBI's taxonomy places the organism in Eukaryota, Metazoa, Chordata, Aves, Passeriformes, Pipridae.